This 799-nucleotide ribosomal RNA is filed under the name uncultured bacterium. Its description in RNAcentral is "bacterial SSU rRNA". It matches the Rfam family "Bacterial small subunit ribosomal RNA", at positions 8 to 796 of the family's 1533-position model. The record is from RNAcentral.
AGAGUUUGAUCCUGGCUCAGGAUGAACGCUAGCGGCAGGCUUAAUACAUGCAAGUCGAGGGGCAGCAGGUCCCGCAGCAAUGCGGGAUGCUGGCGACCGGCAAACGGGUGCGGAACACGUACACAACCUUCCUUUAAGUGGGGAAUAGCCCGGGGAAACCCGGAUUAAUACCCCGUAAUAUAAUAGAGUGGCAUCGCUUUAUUAUUAUAGCUCCGGCGCUUGAAGAUGGGUGUGCGACUGAUUAGGCAGUUGGCGGGGUAACGGCCCACCAAACCUACGAUCAGUAACUGGUGUGAGAGCACGACCAGUCACACGGGCACUGAGACACGGGCCCGACUCCUACGGGAGGCAGCAGUAAGGAAUAUUGGUCAAUGGACGCAAGUCUGAACCAGCCAUGCCGCGUGGAGGAUGAAGGUCCUCUGGAUUGUAAACUUCUUUUAUCUGGGAAGAAAUCCACAAAUUCUUUUGUGGUUGACGGUACCAGAUGAAUAAGCACCGGCUAACUCCGUGCCAGCAGCCGCGGUAAUACGGAGGGUGCAAGCGUUAUCCGGAUUCACUGGGUUUAAAGGGUGCGUAGGUGGGUUGGUAAGUCAGUGGUGAAAUCUCCAGGCUUAACUUGGAAACUGCCAUUGAUACUAUCAAUCUUGAAUACCGUGGAGGUCAGCGGAAUAUGUCAUGUAGCGGUGAAAUGCUUAGAUAUGACAUAGAACACCAAUUGCGAAGGCAGCUGGCUACACGAAUAUUGACACUGAUGCACGAAAGCGUGGGGAUCAAACAGGAUUAGAUACCCUAGUAGUCC